AACGCACAUUGCGCCCCUUGGUAUUCCGAGGGGCAUGCCUGUUCGAGCGUCAUUUAUACCAACUCCUCUGCAAAGAGGGUCUUGGACUUCGCCUCUGGGCGGGUCUCAAAAUCAGUGGCGGUGCCUUGAGGCUCUACGCGUAGUAAUACACCCCGCGAUAGAACCCUUAGGGUAUCUUGCCAGCAACCCCCAACUUCUUAGGUUGACCUCGGAUCAGGUAGGGAUACCCGCUGAACUUAA
RNAcentral lists this unclassified non-coding RNA (240 nucleotides) under Exserohilum sp. RNAcentral's name for it is "partial contains 5.8S ribosomal RNA, internal transcribed spacer 2, and large subunit ribosomal RNA". The stretch from base 1 to 52 matches the Rfam family "5.8S ribosomal RNA", at positions 103 to 154 of the family's 154-position model. The record is from RNAcentral. RNAcentral also lists the same sequence under 2 other names. Lineage: Eukaryota; Fungi; Ascomycota; Dothideomycetes; Pleosporales; Pleosporaceae.